UGCAAGUCGUACGAGAGUUUUUAACUCAAGUGGCGGACGGGUGAGUAACACGUAAGAAUUUACCUUUAGGAGGGGGACAACAGCUGGAAACGGCUGCUAAUACCCCAUAUGCUUUCGAGUGAAAUGGAUUUUUCCGCCUAGAGAGAAGCUUGCGGCUGAUUAGCUUGUUGGUAAGGUAAUGGCUUACCAAGGCGACGAUCAGUAUCUGGUUUGAGAGGACGAUCAGACACACUGGAACUGAGACACGGUCCAGACUCCUACGGGAGGCAGCAGUGGGGAAUUUUCCGCAAUGGGCGAAAGCCUGACGGAGCAAUCUCGCGUGAGGGAUGACUGCCUAUGGGUUGUAAACCUCUUUUUUCAGGGAGGAAUCAAUGACGUGUACCUGAAGAAUAAGCAUCGGCUAACUCCGUGCCAGCAGCCGCGGUAAGACGGAGGAUGCAAGUGUUAUCCGGAAUCACUGGGCGUAAAGCGUCUGUAGGUGGUUUAAUAAGUCAACUGUUAAAUCUUGAAGCUCAACUUCAAAAUCGCAGUCGAAACUAUUAGACUAGAGUAUAGUAGGGGUAAAGGGAAUUUCCAGUGGAGCGGUGAAAUGCGUAGAGAUUGGAAAGAACACCGAUGGCGAAGGCACUUUACUGGGCUAUUACUGACACUCCAGAGACGAAAGCUAGGGUAGCAAAUGGGAUUAGAUACCCCAGUAGUCCUAGCCGUAAACAAUGGA
This 718-nucleotide ribosomal RNA is filed under the name uncultured bacterium. Its description in RNAcentral is "bacterial SSU rRNA". It matches the Rfam family "Bacterial small subunit ribosomal RNA", at positions 56 to 813 of the family's 1533-position model. The record is from RNAcentral.